GACAAAAUCUCAACAUGAAGCAGGGAGCAGGAUAUUAAUCUGAAGAAAGCAAUAAACCUAGAUGUUGUCCACUCCUGGUCCAUUUUCUACAGUUCCUCAUCAUGUUCCUCCUCU
This is a long non-coding RNA of Mus musculus (house mouse), 114 nucleotides long. RefSeq annotates it as predicted gene, 39640. NCBI's taxonomy places the organism in Eukaryota, Metazoa, Chordata, Mammalia, Rodentia, Muridae. The transcript has 3 exons. The record is from RefSeq and is a predicted model, not a curated record.